CGAAGCAACGACGAAGAACCUUACCAGAUCUGACAUCAAUUGACCAUCUUUUAAUCGGAGAUUUUUGUCCGUUCGGGUACAAUUGAGACAGGUGGUGCAUGGUUGUCGUCAGCUCGUGUCGUGAGAUGUUGGGUUAAGUCCCGCAACGAGCGCAACCCUUGUGUUUAGUUGCAAACAGGUCAAGCUGUGCACUCUAGACAGACUGCCGUGGACAACACGGAGGAAGGUGGGGAUGACGUCAAAUCAUCAUGCCCCUUAUGAUCUGGGCUACACACGUGCUACAAUGGCCGGUACAACGGGCAGCGAAGGAGCGAUCCGGAGCGAAUCCUAAAAAGCCGGUCCCAGUUCGGAUUGCAGGCUGAAACUCGCCUACAUGAAGUUGGAGUUGCUAGUAAUCGCGAAUCAGAAUGUCGCGGUGAAUGCGUUCCCGGGUCUU
This 436-nucleotide ribosomal RNA is filed under the name uncultured Fusibacter sp. RNAcentral describes it as "bacterial SSU rRNA". It matches the Rfam family "Bacterial small subunit ribosomal RNA", at positions 952 to 1382 of the family's 1533-position model. Lineage: Bacteria; Bacillati; Bacillota; Clostridia; Eubacteriales; Fusibacteraceae. The record is from RNAcentral.